RNAcentral lists this transfer RNA (89 nucleotides) under Clostridiaceae bacterium. Its description in RNAcentral is "tRNA-Ser". It matches the Rfam family "tRNA". Rfam says of the family: Transfer RNA (tRNA) molecules are approximately 80 nucleotides in length. Their secondary structure includes four short double-helical elements and three loops (D, anti-codon, and T loops). The record is from RNAcentral. Lineage: Bacteria; Bacillati; Bacillota; Clostridia; Eubacteriales; Clostridiaceae.
GGAGAGGUGUCUGAGUGGUUGAGAGAGCCGGUCUUGAAAACCGGUGACGGCUCCGCCGUCCGGGGGUUCGAAUCCGCCCCUCUCCUCCA